AUUUUGAUUUGUAUAUAUAAAAGCACUUAAUUUUCUACUGAAGCAGGAAACUUAAAGCUCAGAACUUAAAAAAAAAAAAAGUUCUAAGAAGCUAGCCAGACAGACACAACCCCAAAAUGUUGUCCAAAGGGUUCUAAGCUCAGAAUCCUCUCUUGAAGGUGGGGAGGGACAGCCAGGAGGGCACCUCCGUGCUUCGGUAGAUGGCACUGAGGAAGGAAAAUGAGGGAGUCAUGAUGCUGAUGCAGAAUGUCUAAAUGGUGACAUGUUCCCUGCUGGUUUGAGGAGAGAAAUUGGGCUUCCUGUGGCAACAACUGGACUUUGGAAGACAGAAAGUCUCUGUGAUCCUGAAGAAACAGAGCUGGAAGAGAGAGGAGGAAGAAUACGGGAUGAGGAAAAAGCACUUCCCAAGCCCCUGAGAAGUGGCAGAAACUGGUCCAGACAGAGCAGCUGGAUACCUGCAGGGAGAGCAAGACCAGAUGUCACCACGUGGCAAAGCUGGGGUGGGCACAACGCCCAAAGACCAGCACAAUUGCACAUCUCAGCAGAGGCUGGCAGUGGGAGCACAUCUUUGGAUGUUUAUUUCCUAAUGCUAGGACAUUGUUCCAGAAAAGAAAAGAGGAGGGAAAGAAGGAGGAAACCCUUGAAUUAAUCAAAAGAGGCUUAGUUUGAACCGAAACUCAAUGAGUUUCUUUGUAAGGGAAAAUUUUCCACCGUUGGCUCAAAUAAGGACUGUAGUGCUUAUUAAGUUCAGUUAUAGUUUGAGAACCAGUCACAUCGGUGCCCAUCUAGUUUUGUAAGCAACACAUGUUCAUGAUACUUGUGUACUUAUCUUCUGUGUAGACAUUGGGUAUUGGUUCUUCCUCCACGAUUUAUCCAGAAGGCUUUGCUGUCUCCAGAAUGGUGGCUGCACCUUGGAUGUCCUUUUCACCCAAGGGCUCUGCAUCUUAGUUCUUGGUUGCUGUCCUGGAGUCUUUCUCCCAUAAAG
This 985-nucleotide long non-coding RNA is filed under the name Marmota monax (woodchuck). Lineage: Eukaryota; Metazoa; Chordata; Mammalia; Rodentia; Sciuridae. The record is from RNAcentral.